GAUGAACGCUGGCGGCGUGCCUAAUACAUGCAAGUCGAGCGAACAGAUGAGGAGCUUGCUCCUCUGACGUUAGCGGCGGACGGGUGAGUAACACGUGGAUAACCUACCUAUAAGACUGGGAUAACUUCGGGAAACCGUAGCUAAUACCGGAUAAUAUAUUGAACCGCAUGGUUCAAUAGUGAAAGACGGUUUUGCUGUCACUUAUAGAUGGAUCCGCGCCGCAUUAGCUAGUUGGUAAGGUAACGGCUUACCAAGGCAACGAUGCGUAGCCGACCUGAGAGGGUGAUCGGCCACACUGGAACUGAGACACGGUCCAGACUCCUACGGGAGGCAGCAGUAGGGAAUCUUCCGCAAUGGGCGAAAGCCUGACGGAGCAACGCCGCGUGAGUGAUGAAGGUCUUCGGAUCGUAAAACUCUGUUAUUAGGGAAGAACAUAUGUGUAAGUAACUGUGCACGUCUUGACGGUACCUAAUCAGAAAGCCACGGCUAACUACGUG
This 497-nucleotide ribosomal RNA is filed under the name uncultured bacterium. RNAcentral's name for it is "partial 16S ribosomal RNA". It matches the Rfam family "Bacterial small subunit ribosomal RNA", at positions 28 to 507 of the family's 1533-position model. The record is from RNAcentral.